CCACCGGCGGCCCGAGUGGUGAUCGUGAUUAUUGGGUCUAAAGGGUCCGUAGCCGGUUUGGUCAGUCCUCCGGGAAAUCUGAUAGCUCAACUAUUAGGCUUUCGGGGGAUACUGCCAGACUUGGAACCGGGAGAGGUAAGAGGUACUACAGGGGUAGGAGUGAAAUCUUGUAAUCCCUGUGGGACCACCUGUGGCGAAGGCGUCUUACCAGAACGGGUUCGACGGUGAGGGACGAAAGCUGGGGGCACGAACCGGAUUAGAUACCCGGGUAGUCCCAGCCGUAAACGAUGCUCGCUAGGUGUCAGGCAUGGCGCGACCGUGUCUGGUGCCGCAGGGAAGCCGUGAAGCGAGCCACCUGGGAAGUACGGCCGCAAGGCUGAAACUUAAAGGAAUUGGCGGGG
Molecule: ribosomal RNA, 401 nt
Filed under: uncultured bacterium
Lineage: Bacteria
Description: partial 16S ribosomal RNA
Rfam family: Archaeal small subunit ribosomal RNA
Source: RNAcentral